UUUUUUUUUUUUUUUUUUUUUUUGUUUUUAGGGCUGCACCCUUGGCAUUGGAAGUUCCCAGGCUAGGGCGAAUGAGAGCUAUAGCCGCUGGCCACAGCCACAGCAAUGCAGCAGCCAAGCCUCAUCCAUGACCUAUCCUAUACCACAGCUCAGGGCAACACCAGAUCCUUAACCCACCAAGCGAAACCAGGGAUCAAACUUGCAUCCUCGUGGAUACUAGUUGGAUUCAUUUCUGCUGUACCACAAUGGGAACUCUUCUAGAUAUCUUCUGAUAAACAAUUUCAGGCUUAUUUUAAUCUAUGUUGAAUCACAUGAAAAAAAAUCAUUGUAUUAAACUGAUAGGAGAACAAAAACAACUAGGCUGCUGAGUGAAAAUUAUUUAGGAAUAUUUGGUGACGAGGAGAAGAAGUGUUUAUUGUCUGCACUGGCUGGUAUUCAAUAUCAGGAAGCUCAUUGCACAUGGAAUAGGAGGAAGGGAAAUAAGGACAGAGAAGUAACCUGGCCUGGGUUCAUAUAGUACAUGCCAGACAGCCCUCUACAUGUAGCUAUAGACUUUGAGUCUGCUUGUCUACUUUGGACACAUUUUCCCUGGCUUUUCAUAACAGAUUCAAAGAGACUACUUCAAUUAAUUUUAGAUCAUUCAAUUUAAGAUUGUUCUGAGCUCUGGCAGUGACUUUCAGUAGUAUUGUUUUCAGUGACUCUACAUCCUUUGGAAUGGCAUAAACUUCACGAUUCCUUGUGUUUUCUGGCUUGUAAUUCGUUGCUAAUGGCGGUUGGUACAACUGUGAACCUUGUGUCAGAAUACCUUAACUGUUAUCUUAGCAACUUUUUGCUAUGAUAGACAAUUUAUUUUAUAGAUGUCAUAUAUGUCUAUAUAUAUUUAGCAAAUGAUCCUUAUCUUUGCCACUUACAAGUUAUAAAAAGGAGCACAUGUAAAGAGACUAAAUGCCACAUCAGAAGGGAAUUUUUUCAAAAAACUCUAUAAAAGGAGAUUUCAUUUUGUUUUAUUUUUGAAACCUCCAGGUAGGCAAAUUACCAUGAUACUUUGCCACUAGGUAUAUCCAGGAAAAGUCAAAUCUGGGAAACCAGUGACAUUAAUUCAGUAACCCAGGCAACAAAAAUUAAUGACUUGAAUUAAAGAACAAGGGUUGAAGAAAAGAGAAAAUCAAGAGAUAUUUAGGAGUUAAAUUUGAAAAUGUUUGAACUUAAAAGGAUUAAGUGUGGUGUGAGGAAGAAACAGGUAACAACAGUGACUUCCAGGCUUCUAGCUUGAGUAGUAGGUAAGUAUUCCCAAGUAUUUUAUCACAACUUUUGAACAAAAAUCCUGGAAUGAGCAGAAGAAAACUGUUCUUCAACCACUAUUAUAAGUGCACAGUGAAGUUCCAUGUAAUUGCCACUAUUAUAAGUGCACAGUGAAGUUCACAGCUCAAGUGAAUCCAAAUUGUAAUCCAGGGUGAUUUACAAUAUUAACAGAUCUGGGUAAAUGAUGCUAAGCCUAAAUACUGUUUGAAUGCUCUGACAGUCACUCCUUAUCUAAUGAAUUUCAAUAUAGUGAAGUUUGGCACAAUGUCCUUUUGGCUUCUGUGGUCUGAAGGGUCUUCCAGGUACCUCGGUGAAUUAGCUGAGUGAAUUGCCCUGACUGCAUUGUAUUUCAGCUUCAUCCUCUGAGGAAUCCAGUUUCCUUCACUCUCUCCACAGGUGCUAAUUCUGAAAACACUCCCCAGUAAAUGUCCUUUGGCAAAUCUUCAUGUCAAAGUUUGCUUCCUGGGGAAGCAAGCAUGUACAUCAUUUCAAGAAGUCCUCAUUUUCUUUCCUUUCAGUUUGAGAUUGAAGUAUCUCAAAGCAUUUCUCAAGCAUAUGUCUGUGCUUUUGCUACCUAUUUCUGAUAUCUAAAAACAAUGGACUUGAGAGAUUAUUUGAGUGUGUUGAUCUUUCUUCAGAAGUUAAUGACGGCCCUGUGAAAUUGAUAUUAAGGAUUAACACAUUUUUUAUAGUUAAUUCCUUUAUAAUUGUGAUAUUUAACUGUUGAAUCUUGUAAUUAGUCUUUGGGCAAUUUUGAUAAUACUGUUGUUGGUGAAGUCAAAUAUGAUUGAAAAACCUAAAGAUCAAGAUCUUUAGGUAUACUUUCAGUUAUAGCAGUAAUUAUAUCAAAUUCAUUUUGUCUAACUCUGGUGCUUUCUGGGAAUUAACAAGUUUUUAUAAUUUGUUGCUCCAAAUAUUAAAAAUAUCUCAAAACAACUAUGACUUAUGUUAAUAUAAUAAUGGAAGGUAGGUGAAUUACAGGCGAGAGGCUCUUUUUAAAAAUCCUUGUUUUAGAUGUAUAUGGCAUCUGCUUUAGGUUUGAUUCCUCUUUUGCUAAGAGGCAGCCAAGGACCUCCAGCCGUGUGUUUAUAUUUGAUGUCAGGGAAGACUGCUGGGAGGUGGCAAUAGGAAAGCUUUCCCUCAGAAAUGAAAAACAUCUACAUCUCACAGUGCUGUAUGUGGCUGAAGGUAUGAUUUAGGAAAUUCACAUGUACAUUAAGUAUGUAAAAAUAUACUGUUUUAUUUUGCAUCUUUAGGCUUAAGUUGCAAAUGCUUGUGAGGAAAAAAUACAAUAGGAAAUGUUAAAAAUGAGUGGUAACAUGGAACAGUGGUCUUUGUUUUAUUAAACUUUCAGAGAGAAACACAGAAAUAAGUCUUGUGGAGACGUGAUUUUGGCUGCUGUUAGAAUACCACUGUUCUCUAGCACUGCAGUGAGCAAACAGUAGAUUUUGUUUGAGGUGUUCCAGAAUAUCUGUUAUGUUGACAUGAACAGAUGUGCACUAGAUGAUUACAAUUUGAUGAGCUGAAUUAAAUCUCUGCAAUCAGGCUUCUAGGGAUCUCUUUAACAUGUCCAGAGGUCAAAAGAUGUUAGUAAAUUUGUAUAUCCACAUUGUAUGUAUGCGUGGGGGGGUGGGGGAGUUGGGCUGUGUUUCAGAGAGAAAGCAUUUUGGAAAAGUGAAUAGGAGGGAGUAAGCAUACAAUUUAGAAUCUUCAUUAAAAUAAAAUUGCUUCCAGUGGGUGUCUGGAAACUUUUAUUUUUGCUGUGAAAUAUUUCAAUAGUUGUUCUGUAUGUAUAGCAGGCUACACUUUAUUUUUUUUUAUUUUUUAUUUUUUUUGGGGGUAUCACACAAGCAGCAUAUGGAAGUUCCCAGGCUAGGGGUCAAAAGCUACAGCCACUGUCCUAUGCCACAGCCACAGCAACAUGGGAUCCAAGCCGCAUCUGUGACUACACCACAGCUCGGGACAAUGCCAGAUCCUUAACCCACUGAGUGAGGCUAGGGGUAGAACCCGCAUCCAUGCAUCUCAUGGAUCCUACUCAGGUUCAUUAACCGCUAAGCCACGAAGGGAACUCCUGCAGGCUACACCCUUUCUACCAGCUGCCUUAAAAUUGGGACAGAGAAAUCAAAGCAAAAUUGAGCCAAGUACAAACUUCAAAAUAGGCAUUUUGUGAAAAGCAAACAAAAGCAUUAAACACAAUGAAACCAAACAAAAUAUGAGAAAAAUAACCAAAACAUCUUCCAAAUUAAUGCAUGUUUCAGAUGUGUAGGACGUGAACUAGAAUUUGACACUGAAUGCAAGCAAAAUAUUUAUAACUCAUUGAAAAAAAAAAAAAAAAAACUUGUUUUCUUUCCCAGACAGUUGAAAUUGAGAAACAGCCCUGCCUGUCCAACAUUAAUUUUUACAUUGAACCAUAGAACCAACAAAACUACUAAUGUGUAUAAAUUCAUUUUCACAUCUAAAACAGACAUAUGAAGCAUUUCACAAUUUCAUGAUCAAAGCUAAGUACCUUAUUUCUAGCACAGUUUUUACUUGGCUUAAAAUUCUCACAUUAUUUUUAUUUGAUAUCUACAUUUCUUUUAAUGGUUCUUAAUUGUUUUUAAUUUUCCUUCUAAAGUUUUAAUUAUUAUUAAGUUCUUAGACUAAAUUCCUGUAAACAAUUAUCAUUUGAGUAAGAGAUAAAGAUGCUGAGUUCCACAUAUAUUAAAUGGUUUCCCUUAGGGAAGACAGCAAGUCUCCUGCAGCCUAAAAAUGAAUGUUUGUUUACAGGCUUAUCAUCAUCACCUGCUGAGUUUAUCCUUUUUCUACCUGCAUAAAGAAUGCUUGAUGGCAUUACCAUACAAUUUAUGAUUUUUAUAAAGUUUGUUUCUUAUUCUUUCAAAUGUUUUGUCUCCUUUACUCUCAGUACAUGGUAUUGUUGAUCAAUUUCUAUUCCUUUAGAAGCCUAAAACAGGAAACAGAGAUUGCAGAAAAGGAAACCCAGACAUAGGCAAUUCAUAUAUCCUGGGCACUCUGGAAGAUAGUUGCCUCUCUAGCCACUCUUUUACGUAAAUGCUCCAAAAGGGCAGAGUGAUUCAUAGAGCACAAUGGGAUUAUGAUCUUCAUCCACAAAACCUAUGACUGAAUUUUUUUUUUUCAUCUUGGUGAAUAUUAAAAAGAGCAGCUCGUGUUUAUGUCAGUUUAUUAGGUGUUUUAUAUAUAUUAACUCAUUCACUCAUGUCUCUAGUCAAAAUUUGUUGACUAUCUAUUGUCAGAAAUGGUUCCUACCUUUGAAAGAUUCACACUCUAUUGAAAAGAAAUACCAUACAGAAAUAUUAUAAAACUAGUACAAUAUUAAUGUGUAAUAUCAUUUAGGGGAUCAGCAAAAGAGGGUGCAACCUGGACUUCGACAUAUUUAUUUAUUUAUUUAUUUAUUUAUUUAUUUAUUAUUUUCGGUCUUUUUAGGGUAACACCCAUGGCAUAUGGAAGUUCUGAGGCUAGAGGUCGAAUUGGAGCUGUAGCUGCUGGCCUACGCCACAGCCACAAUAAUAUGGGAUCCAGUCUGCAUCUGUGACCUACACCACAGCCCAUGACAAUGCCAGAUCCUUAAUCCACUGUGUGAGGCUAGGGAUCAGACCCGCAUCCUCAUGAACACCAGUUGGGUUUGUAAUCUGCUGAGCCAUGAUGGGAACUCCCUGGACUCUUAUUUUAAGGAAGAGAAGAAAUAAAGCCAGGUGAAGGACAUUAAGAAAGAGUUAAAUACCCAAAUGUUGUCAGAACCAGAUGCUUCCGUGAACAAGUCUCAAAUGUGUUGGUAACAGGUAAUUCUGGUAAUAAUUGAACCAUUCCAGGACAUAAAGAAAAUUAAUGCAAUGAGCUAGUAAAACCUAUUAAAUAGCUGAGAAAAAUAAAUUAAAAGUAUGGAAAGUAAUCCCAUUUAUACAAUAAAUGCAAAGAUAUGCAGUAAAAUACGCAACACUUAAUUCCAAAAAGAAAUUAAAAUAUCAAUAUAUAAUUUCCAGAGAGCUUUUUUCCUAGAAAGGCAUGACAAUUCAUCAUAAAAAUAUAUCAAUAAAACCCAUCAUACAGUAGAUCAAAUAAAAAAAGAGUAUAUGUUUAAAUUAUUAUUAAAAAUAAUAGCAGUAGUUUUUAUUUUUUCAACCUAAGAGAUAGUUUACUGUUUCUUUCACUUUCAAGAUGAGGAAAUUGUAUUUUAUAAAGUUAAAUUGAUUUUCCCUGAAAUUAUAGUUUGUUUUUGAGCGGUGAAUAUUAAUGUGAUUAUGUUUAAAACAAUGAGUCCUUAUCUUUUAAAAGCUUACUUAAAUACUGGCACAGUUUCUGGAAUUUCCUUCAGAAUAAAAUGGGUGAUUUGGACCUGGGUGAGGGCAUAGAUGAAGUAAGUGCAGCUACUGGCCGAUAAUUGUUGAAUCAGGUAAUGAAUAAAUGUUCAAUAUACUGUUCUCUCUACUUUUGAUUAUAUUUGCAACAUUUCUUAAUACAAAUUUAAAUAAAGCUGCUUGUUUUAGUUAUAAACAUUAUAGGAACCAUUUGAGAAGAAGUUUAAAAGUUCAGUAAUGGGCACUAAUAAGUUGCAUAAAUUGAGUAAUAAACCAUUUCUCAAAUAAGAAUGUUAAUGAUAAAAAAUCACGCAUAAUUAAUAUAAAAAUUUAACAAUCAUAAUCUUAGCACAUCUUCUUGUCUGCAUUGAAGAAUGUU
Molecule: long non-coding RNA, 5994 nt
Filed under: Sus scrofa (pig)
Lineage: Eukaryota; Metazoa; Chordata; Mammalia; Artiodactyla; Suidae
Description: lncRNA (ENSSSCG00000055513.1)
Source: RNAcentral